UUACGUAAUCAAACCAGUUUUAUUAAUAUUGAGUUAGUUUAAUUAGUCAUAGAGUGUGAUCAAUAUUUGUUAAAAAAAAAAAUUCUAAUAUCAUAAAUAUUAUUUGUGUGAAAAUGUAACAAUAACAACCAGUCAGAGUCUUUUACUUUAAGUCAGCCGGAGACUUUUAAUUUAUGAGAUUUAUUCCCACGACUCCACCAUAUCUGCGUACGUCGUGACGUCAGACGUCCAAAGCGUGGGGGCGCUCCUCCUUAAAGUCGCAAUUUGUCAUCAAAUAGCAAAGAUGUUCCGGCCCAAGCCCAAACUGAAGGACAGACAGCACCUGUACAGGCUGAUCAUCAGCCAGCUGCUGUAUGACUGAUACACCAGCAUUGCCAACAGCCUGAUCAGUGAGGUGAAGCCCCAGAGUGUGGUGUCUCCAUCAGAGCAGCUCAUGCAACUGGCCAGGAUAGGUGCAGGUCUCAGUGGGCGACAUACGCACCACACUCAGGGUGUUUUCUACCACACUGAGGACUGUGCUGCUGCCAGACGAGCGAACCAUCAGCUUGUGCUGCUGGGAUUCACGCACUGCUGAGAGGAAGAACCUGCUCUCAUUAGGCCACAAUAACAUUGUGCGCUGUAUCUUACACUCACCCACCAACCCAGGCUUCAUGACCUGCAGCGAUGACUUCAGAGCACUCUUCUGGUAUCGCCGCACCACCACGGACUAAGACACAUCUGUGUGCUUUAAAAGCAAAAGUCUCUGAGCUUCUUUUAUCAGCAGGUCCCAAACACUGCGUAUGACUUCAGAGGCUUGUUUGCCAAGCCUCCAUAUCACUGAACGCACAAAACCAUUUUUAAAAGCACCAGAGAGCUUAUGACUGUGGUACCUUAGUAUUACUGCCGGGUGGUGCUGUUUAACUACUAUGAGUUCUGUCGUUUUCUUUACUACCAUUUCAUAACAUCAGAACUAUCAGCCGUAAAGUUGCAUUGAAGCUAAAGACAGAUUUUUUUUUAUAUUUGUGUCCGACAACAAGUAGAUGAGUGUUAUUCUGUCAUGGCAAGUGCCUAGAAUGUCAUUUUUUCCGUUUUGGAUAUUAAAGGGAUAGUUCACC
Long non-coding RNA from Carassius auratus (goldfish), 1094 nucleotides. RefSeq lists it as uncharacterized. The record is from RefSeq and is a predicted model, not a curated record. The transcript is spliced from 3 exons. NCBI's taxonomy places the organism in Eukaryota, Metazoa, Chordata, Actinopteri, Cypriniformes, Cyprinidae.